AUAAAUCGGUAACCGUUUACACAGUAAUACAGAACAAAUUACAGAAAAUGUCAACACACUACAGAAGCGGGAAGGUUCUUGUAUUUUGACUGUAACUUGUUCGGGUAUAUUGGUUUCCCGACUGAUUAUGCCCGAUCUAAUUGUUUAACACCCGAUGGCUUUCAGCCCGACUGAUUAUGCCCGAUCUAAUUGUUUAACACCCGAUGGCUUUAAGCCCGACUGAUUAUGCCCGAUCUAAUUGUUGAACACCCGAUGGCUUCAAGCCCGACUGAUUAUGCCCGAUCUAAUUGUUUAACACCCGAUGGCUUUAAGCCCGACUGAUUAUGCCCGAUCUAAUUGUUUAAAGCCCGAUUAAAUUGUUUAACGCCCGAUUGAAUUGUUUAACGCCCGAUUGAAUUGUUUAACGCCCGAUUGAAUUGUUUAACGCCCGAUUGAAUUGUUUAACGCCCGAUUGUUUAAAGCCCGAUUGAAUUGUUUAAAGCCCGAUUGAAUUGUUUAACACCCAAUGGCUUUCAGCCCGCAUUAAUUAAACACUGUCCGAUCCAAUUGUAUUUUUGUCCCGAU
This is a non-coding RNA of Paramuricea clavata, 564 nucleotides long. The record is from the annotation of a GenBank genome assembly. NCBI's taxonomy places the organism in Eukaryota, Metazoa, Cnidaria, Anthozoa, Malacalcyonacea, Plexauridae.